This 274-nucleotide ribosomal RNA is filed under the name uncultured bacterium. RNAcentral describes it as "partial 16S ribosomal RNA". It matches the Rfam family "Bacterial small subunit ribosomal RNA", at positions 43 to 313 of the family's 1533-position model. The record is from RNAcentral.
GGCCGCGGGAAUUCGAUUCAGGCCUAACACAUGCAAGUCGAGCGGGGUUUUCGGACCUAGCGGCGGACGGGUGAGUAAUGCGUAGGAAGCUACCCGAUAGAGGGGGAUACCAGUUGGAAACGACUGUUAAUACCGCAUAAUGUCUACGGACCAAAGUGUGGGACCUUCGGGCCACAUGCUAUCGGAUGCGCCUACGUGGGAUUAGCUAGUUGGUGAGGUAAUGGCUCACCAAGGCGACGAUCCCUAGCUGGUUUGAGAGGAUGAUCAGCCACAC